AAUUCAUCAAUGAAAACUAUUCAGAUUAUGAUUUGUGUUUCUAUUGUCAUGUCUGAGUAAUCACCUUGUUGGGUUUAGGGAGUCUCAAUAGGGAUUUAGAUGGAUUAGUAGAUCGAAAACCAUUUAAGAUUAUUCUUAGAGUUCUUCAUCUUGAUUAUUCUUAAUGCUAGUUUUAGACAGAUCACCUAGAACUUGAUAUUAGAUAAUAGGUAUGGCCGCCAUAGGUACUUGUUAUUUAAACUAUCAUAGAUGAGCCUAGGCAUUUAAGAAAGAAUAGGUUGGCUCAUAG
This 289-nucleotide small RNA is filed under the name Arabidopsis thaliana (thale cress). RNAcentral describes it as "ATSL160630". The record is from RNAcentral. Lineage: Eukaryota; Viridiplantae; Streptophyta; Magnoliopsida; Brassicales; Brassicaceae.